This 258-nucleotide ribosomal RNA is filed under the name uncultured bacterium. RNAcentral describes it as "partial 16S ribosomal RNA". It matches the Rfam family "Bacterial small subunit ribosomal RNA", at positions 524 to 776 of the family's 1533-position model. The record is from RNAcentral.
UACGUAGGGUGCAAGCGUUGUCCGGAAUUAUUGGGCGUAAAGAGCUCGUAGGCGGUCUGUCGCGUCGGCUGUGAAAACCCGGAGCUCAACUCCGGGCCUGCAGUCGAUACGGGCAAACUGGAGUACUGCAGGGGAGACUGGGAAUUCCUGGUGUAGCGGUGAAAUGACGCAGAUAUCAGGAGGAACACCGGUGGCGAAGGCGGGGUCUCUGGGCAGUAACUGACGCUGAGGAGCGAAAAGCGUGGGGGAGCGAACAGG